This 468-nucleotide ribosomal RNA is filed under the name uncultured bacterium. RNAcentral's name for it is "partial 16S ribosomal RNA". It matches the Rfam family "Bacterial small subunit ribosomal RNA", at positions 28 to 507 of the family's 1533-position model. The record is from RNAcentral.
GACGAACGCUGGCGGUGUGCUUAACACAUGCAAGUCGAACGGUAAGGCCCUUUCGGGGGUCCACGAGUGGCGAACGGGUGAGUAACACGUGAGUAACCUGCCCUCAUCUCUGGGAUAACAGUCGGAAACGGUUGCUAAUACUGGAUAUGAGCUUGCAAGGCAUCUUGUGGGUUGGAAAGAUUUUUUUUGGUUGGGGAUGGACUCGCGGCCUAUCAGCUUGUUGGUGAGGUAGUGGCUCACCAAGGCUUCGACGGGUAGCCGGCCUGAGAGGGCGACCGGCCACAUUGGGACUGGGAUACGGCCCAAACUCCUACGGGAGGCAGCAGUGGGGAAUAUUGCACAAUGGACGGAAGUCUGAUGCAGCAACGCCGCGUGCGGGAUGACGGCCUUCGGGUUGUAAACCGCUUUCAAUUGUGACGAAGCUUUUUUGUGACGGUAGCAGUAGAAGAAGCACCGGCUAACUACGUG